Molecule: long non-coding RNA, 3919 nt
Organism: Cyprinus carpio carpio
Lineage: Eukaryota; Metazoa; Chordata; Actinopteri; Cypriniformes; Cyprinidae
Source: Ensembl
AUAUAUAUAUAUAUAUAUAUAUAUAUAAAUUCUAAUUUAUUGUUUCAAAAGUAUAUGACAUUAAACAUAUCAUAUUUAGUACAUUUAGUUGAGAGUUUGAACUACUGUGCAAGACUUGGCAAUCCAUUACAUUUUUUUAAAAGGCAUUCAAAGUAAUAGUAUAAUGUCCAGAGUUUGAGUUUACAUGCAUGCAGGUUAAAAUAUGUGCUUUAUUAAAGAUAAGAUUUACCUUUAAACUCUGUGGCUAGUAGGCGACCAGUGGGAAAUGGAUGCCAGGGUACAGAACCAGGAUACUCUGGAACUCCGUGAGGAGUAUGUUUAGGCCACCAGCAAAGAACAUUGACACCGUAAUAGGGGGGACAAUCUGGGCAAUAAGCCUGUUCAGAUUGGUUUCACUUGCAAAUGUCAUAGAAGGCUUCAUUAUCCACCAUGAAAAAGCAGUCUGAGUGCUCAAGAAUGGUGUGAUAAGGAUCGAAUUAUAGGGCUUCUGCUUCCAGCAAGAAUUACCCAUCUGGAACCCUGCUUGACCAAUAUGUAUGGAGAUGCACAUCCUGAUUUUGCUGUGUUAGAUGUUUGUUGACCCUGGAACAAAAUUUUAAUCCGAAAAUUUAGUUUUGACCAUAUCCCUACACCUACUGUAAACCUAACCUUAACCAUAAAUAAUCCCUAAAAUCAGAGGAAAUGAUAGAUGAAUGACACUGAUGUACAAGCACCAAACACUGAUUGUAAGCCUAAACUUCACAAAAACAAUGAACUGGUACUUCAAAUCUGAUUGGUUAAAUCACAGUGUUGUUACAGGGUCAACAAAGAUGUUGAUCCAGGAAGAUGUCACACUCGGUAAAAUCAGGUUCUGCAUAUGGAGAUGCUCUCCCUCUAGUUCAAUCAAUGUAAUUCACAAACACACACGUUAACUGCAGUGAAGUGGUAAAGCAAUAUCACUAGUAAUCCAGUCAAAUUUACCAUCAAUAAUUUCACCUUUGUACUCAAGUAUUACAGCAACCAGAAAUAAAACCAUAGCCUUUAAAUCCUGAAAAUCUAAAAUAAUAAUUUCAUCCCAGACUUCAAUGUCAAAAUGAUUAACUGUUAUUAUUCUAGAAGAAAACAACUCAUCUCCACAGCUAGACCAAACUAGCCAACUGAUUUAAAUUAUAUUGAUCUCAAAUCAGUGGGGUGUGACUUUAAAUGAAUUCUACCUGAGAUAAUGCUAAUGAAGAUAAUUAGUCUUGUAGAUUACAGCUCAUUGAUCUUUUAUUUAGCAACAAUAACAUCAACAGUUUUCAAUAUCAAAAUAAAAAAUUUUCUACUCCUGUGGAAUAAUAUAAUUUGUGCUUUUCCCUUUCCUCUCAGGGUAAAUUGUCACCAAUUAAGUCUUGCUGAUAGUACUAGAGGUAUCUUGCAAGAAAUGGUGAUUCUUUUUAUCUUAUUUGAAAUAACCUUUCUACAGGUCUCUUAAGUAGGUAAAUAUUUAAAAUGUCUUUGAGCAUUGUGAUAAAUUUGCAUACUGUACAUCCUACUACAAACUAGCCAAGUAAAUAUGCUUCAUAUUAAGUGCUUAGAUUUUGCAGGAUGUUGUUUGUAAUAAAUUAUAAUUCUGUUUUUUUCUACUUAUUUGAAAUACACAUUUCUUCAGGUCUGUUAACUUGACAAAUAUUGCAAUGUUUUUGACCAUUUUGUUGAAUUUGGAUGCAUGCUAUUCCAAAUUGCCACAGUACCCUGACAUCAUAAUAGGUGUACUGAUAGUAACAGUGUAAGAGGUCACUUGUAAGAAAUGGCCAUUACUUUUUUCUGCUCUUUUAAAACAAGCUUUCUAUACAGGUCUAGAAAAAAUGAGAAGUAUUGUAAUGUUUUAGAGCAUUUUAGCUGAACAACAGAACCACUUGCCUCAAAACUACAUACAAAAGCUUCUGCACUGGAAACAAACAGUGGCUCCUCCAUAUUGAAGAUGAUUACGGACAAUGAGAAAUACCUUACUAGCCCUUUGUCCAGGGUAUUUCGCUGCCUAUGCCCCGAGACACUGGAAUAGGCUCAAGCAACCCUAAGACCAGGGGCACUGCUAUGGUUUCCGGGCCUCCUGAACAUCAUUGACUCGGGGCCCUACUGUGAUCGUGUUCCAGGGGAGGGUGGGUUGUCCUCGGUAAAAAAUGCAUCCUGGGCCUCCCUCGCCGGGCCCUUGGAAUCGUCAUAACUUUCAAACCCCAAAUUUGAAGGUUGAUUUUUGAAAAUUAGAUUUACUUGAUGCAACACCAUCCAAUAGGCCAACAGUAAAGCAUCACAUUUAGAUCAUAGAUUGCUAACAUACAUAGAUUUUCUUUCAUGCGUUCACACUUCUAGUACAGUCUGCUGCUUGUUUUUAUGCAAAACUUCAGCAAAAAAAAAAAAAACCUUCCACCACUAGAGGUCGUUUUAUACUAUGAAAAACGCUCAAAAGUAAAGCAUGUUUGCAUGACGUUUGCAAUUACAGAAGAAAACAGCUGUAGAUGGAGAAACAUAUCAUAAGCAGAAUAGAACACUGAAUUAUGCACAUUUAUUGUAAAUGGACAUAUGGGCUCCUUCAGUAAUGACACACUUAAGACAUAACUAGCUCAAACAACUAAGUUAAAAAAUAAUUUUAAGAUAUAUGGUUUUCUGUAGCUAUAUUUGUAAGGUCAAAAAGCAAUUGUAACUAGCAGGCUAAAUGCCCUUUAUUAAUUGGUGUUGUUUGUCCACAUUGCAAUGGAAUGCUAUUCGGUUGUGGUAUAUGAAUCAAUUUUUCUAAUCAACUCUAACGGCAUAAAGAGAGCUUUACUGAUGUGCAUCAUUGGUUUUAGAAAAGGAUUUCCAGUGCUCUUACUCUUUUCAGCUAAAACCUGUGCGGAUAAAAACAGAGAUAUCCUGACAGAGAUAGAUCCUUGCUUUUACUGAGAGGGCAGUAGGCUAAACAUUUCACUUUAGCACCAUAUAAUUGGCUGGGUUAUCAAAAAUUUUGUCCACAAAACUAUUCAGGAUUCAUCUUUAGUAUUCUAAUUCAAUUUCAGCUAUAGUGGAAACGAUAAGGCAGGUUGGACAAAGACACUGAAUUAUAUAUGACUUCUCCAAAAGCUAAUUGGACUCAGUUACAGAGAAAAUUAAAGCAUAUAAAACCUAGUUCCUUUUUGUUUUUUUUUUUGUUUUUUUUUAAUAUCACUGGUGACAGAGAUCGGCCAGGCUCUGAGUUUCCCCAAUCACAGUAAACAUCCUUAACUGAUUACUAACUAGCCACACCUUCACUCCAUCAAAUUCACUUAUCAGCACCACUACUUGAGCACACACCUCAUCUCUCCUUAUUGUACAGUCUUGUUUAUUUGAAGUGGAUUGCUUACAUGUUCUUCUGCUCUCUAGUGAUAAUCUCCAGCAUGCCUUCCCCACCUUCAUGUCUCCAGUGUCAUAUGUUAGGGAUUACCUGAAAACUUGCUCCUUGCGAUGAGGUGUGUGUGCUCACUCUCCAUCUGCUCCACCGUCCAUGAUUUCCUGCACAUAAGGAAAGUCCUGUUAUCAUUCUCAUCAAGCACUACUAUACUAUUAUUGAACUGCUACUGUACUUACCUGCCAUUACCUGCAUUGCUUAUAUUUGUCAAAAAAAGACACUGUUUGCUCCUUCAGCCCAUGUCUGUAUUCCGUAACAACUGACUGUUCAUUAAAUAUAAACAUUUCAACCUGCAUUUUCCAUUUUCCACAUGUAAAUUAAAAGCACAGUGAAAAACCCCAUGGCUAUAUCCAAUAUUUUAAUUUGGUGUGAUAAUGCUGUGUUUUUCAUUGCAUUAAAAGAAAAAGGAUUUGUCCAAAUUAUAGUGUACUUCAUAGCUCUGUGUUUGUCAUGAUCAAACUGUCUUUCAAGUAACAUCUGAAAUCCAAAAUAUAUUUACCCGAACAUUUCAAAGAAAGUGGAAUUGUGAUGAUGUUU